RNAcentral lists this ribosomal RNA (497 nucleotides) under uncultured bacterium. RNAcentral describes it as "partial 16S ribosomal RNA". It matches the Rfam family "Bacterial small subunit ribosomal RNA", at positions 28 to 507 of the family's 1533-position model. The record is from RNAcentral.
GAUGAACGCUGGCGGCGUGCCUAAUACAUGCAAGUCGAGCGAACGGACGAGAAGCUUGCUUCUCUGAUGUUAGCGGCGGACGGGUGAGUAACACGUGGAUAACCUACCUAUAAGACUGGGAUAACUUCGGGAAACCGGAGCUAAUACCGGAUAAUAUUUUGAACCGCAUGGUUCAAAAGUGAAAGACGGUCUUGCUGCCACUUAUAGAUGGAUCCGCGCUGCAUUAGCUAGUUGGUAAGGUAACGGCUUACCAAGGCAACGAUGCAUAGCCGACCUGAGAGAGUGAUCGGCCACCCUGGAACUGAGACACGGUCCAGACUACUACGGGAGGCAGCAGUAGGGAAUCUUCCGCAAUGGGCGAAAGCCUGACGGAGCAACGCCGAGUGAGUGAUGAAGGUCUUCGGAUCGUAAAACUCUGUUAUUAGGGAAGAACAUAUGUGUAAGUAACUGUGCACAUCUUGACGGUACCUAAUCAGAAAGCCACGGCUAACUACGUG